Molecule: ribosomal RNA, 1247 nt
Filed under: metagenome
Description: SSU rRNA
Rfam family: Eukaryotic small subunit ribosomal RNA
Source: RNAcentral
GAUCUCUUUGAGGCCCAUUAUCGGAAUGAGAACAAUUCAAAUCCUUUAACGAGGAUCUAGCGGAGGGCAAGUCUGGUGCCAGCAGCCGCGGUAACUCCAGCUCCGCAGGUGUAUAUCUAUGCUGCUGCAGUUAAAAAGCUCGUAGUUGGAUCUGCGUGCUCGGAACUGGUUGGCUCACUGAGUUCAAACUGGUCUCCGGCGCUUUAUUUGCUGGUUUUCCCUUGAUGCUCUUAACCGGGUGUCUCGGGUGGCUAGCGUGUUUACUUUGAAAAAAUUAGAGUGCUCAAUACAGGCGCAAAGCCUUGAAUAGCGGUGCAUGGAAUAAUAGAAUAGGACCUCGGCUCUAUUUUGUUGGUUUUCGGAACACGAGGUAAUGAUUAAGAGGGACAGACGGGGGCAUUCGUAUUGCGACGUUAGAGGUGAAAUUCUUGGAUCGUCGCAAGACGGACGACUGCGAAAGCAUUUGCCAAGAAUGUUUUCAUUAAUCAAGAACGAAAGUUAGAGGUUCGAAGGCGAUCAGAUACCGCCCUAGUUCUAACCGUAAACGAUGCCAACUAGCGAUUCGCAGGCGUUAAACAACGACCUUGCGGGCAGCUUCCCGGAAACGAAAGUGUUCCGGUUCCGGGGGAAGUAUGGUUGCAAAGCUGAAACUUAAAGGAAUUGACGGAAGGGCACCACCAGGAGUGGAGCCUGCGGCUUAAUUUGACACAACACGGGAAAACUCACCCGGCCCGGACACCGUAAGGAUUGACAGAUUGAGAGCUCUUUCUUGAUUCGGUGGGUGGUGGUGCAUGGCCGUUCUUAGUUGGUGGAGCGAUUUGUCUGGUUUAUUCCGAUAACGAACGAGACUCUGGCCUACUAAAUAGUGGGCGGAUUCUUUCUGUCCGCAACACUUCUUAGAGGGACAAGCGGUGUUCAGCCGCACGAGAUUGAGCAAUAACAGGUCUGUGAUGCCCUUAGAUGUCCGGGGCUGCACGCGCGCUACACUGAAGGAAUCAGCGUGCUUUCUGACCUUGCCCGAAAGGGCUGGGUAACCCGAUGAAAAUCCUUCGUGAUUGGGAUAGGGACUUGCAAUUAUUUCCCUUGAACGAGGAAUUCCCAGUAAGUGUGGGUCAUAAGCUCGCGUUGAUUACGUCCCUGCCCUUUGUACACACCGCCCGUCGCUGCCCGGGACUGAGCCGUUUCGAGAAGAACAGGGACCGUCGUUGAAGGGCCCUAACGGGCUUUUCUCUGAUAGAAACUGUUUU